RNAcentral lists this ribosomal RNA (253 nucleotides) under uncultured bacterium. RNAcentral's name for it is "partial 16S ribosomal RNA". It matches the Rfam family "Bacterial small subunit ribosomal RNA", at positions 524 to 776 of the family's 1533-position model. The record is from RNAcentral.
UACGUAGGGUCCGAGCGUUAAUCGGAAUUACUGGGCGUAAAGCGUGCGCAGGCGGUUUUGUAAGCCAGAUGUGAAAGCCCCGGGCUCAACCUGGGAACUGCAUUUGGGACUGCAAGGCUGGAGUACGGCAGAGGGAGGUGGAAUUCCACGUGUAGCAGUGAAAUGCGUAGAGAUGUGGAGGAACACCGGUGGCGAAGGCGGGUCUCUGGGCAAUUCCUGACGCUGAGGCGCGAAAGCGUGGGGAGCAAACGGG